Molecule: ribosomal RNA, 748 nt
Filed under: uncultured bacterium
Lineage: Bacteria
Description: SSU rRNA
Rfam family: Bacterial small subunit ribosomal RNA
Source: RNAcentral
UUGAUCAUGGCUCAGAUUGAACGCUGGCGGCAUGCCUUACACAUGCAAGUCGAACGGCAGCACGGGAGCAAUCCUGGUGGCGAGUGGCGAACGGGUGAGUAAUAUAUCGGAACGUGCCCAGUCGUGGGGGAUAACGCAGCGAAAGCUGUGCUAAUACCGCAUACGAUCUCUGGAUGAAAGCGGGGGACCUGCAAGGGCCUCGCGCGAUUGGAGCGGCCGAUAUCAGAUUAGCUAGUUGGUGGGGUAAAAGCUCACCAAGGCGACGAUCUGUAGCUGGUCUGAGAGGACGACCAGCCACACUGGAACUGAGACACGGUCCAGACUCCUACGGGAGGCAGCAGUGGGGAAUUUUGGACAAUGGGCGCAAGCCUGAUCCAGCAAUGCCGCGUGCAGGAUGAAGGCCUUCGGGUUGUAAACUGCUUUUGUACGGAACGAAAAGGCUCUUUUUAAUAAAGAGGGCUCAUGACGGUACCGUAAGAAUAAGCACCGGCUAACUACGUGCCAGCAGCCGCGGUAAUACGUAGGGUGCGAGCGUUAAUCGGAAUUACUGGGCGUAAAGCGUGCGCAGGCGGUUUUGUAAGACAGAUGUGAAAUCCCCGGGCUCAACCUGGGACCUGCAUUUGUGACUGCAAGGCUAGAGUACGGUAGAGGGGGAUGGAAUUCCGCGUGUAGCAGUGAAAUGCGUAGAUAUGCGGAGGAACACCGAUGGCGAAGGCAAUCCCCUGGACCUGUACUGGCGCUCAUGCAC